UUCAGGUAAACCUAUUGAGGUCAACAAAAAUCAGGAAUUAAGCAGUGUCUCCAUUCCAAAUAAAACUUCAUCCAUGUGCUAGUUUGGCCUGUGAGAUGCUGGUGAGCUCACCUCCAGGCACUCACGGACUCCCCACCCAUUGAGUGUGGCCUGGAUUUAGUGACUCCAUCAAAUGUGACAGAGUGCUGGGGUGUCACUUUCAAGACUGGGUUAUGUGAAGACUGCAGCCUCCAUCUGGGGUGCUGUCUCUUGGAUUGCUUGCGCAGGGGUGUGGGGAGAGCUGCUGUGCUGGGAGGCUGCCCUGUGGAGAGGCCCAUGUGAGUUGACUUGGAUGUGAACCUUCUGUGGCCUGCCAAUAGCCAUCUGAGUGACCUUGAAAAUGGAUCAGCCUUCAAGAUGACUGUGGUCUUGGCUGACAGCUUGACUGCUGUCUCACAAGGGACCUUAAACCAAAGGCACCCUGCUAAGCCACACACAGCUUCCUGGCCCACAGAAACUAUGAAAUAAUAACCAUUUCUUACAUAAGCCUCCAAGUGUUGGGAGUAAUAUUUUGCACAGUGAUGGAUCACUAAUACAAGCCAGUCACCAGUUGAAAGACGCUGAAUUUAUUUCCAGUUUUAUGUGAUUAUGAAUAAUGUCACCAUAUGCAUUUGCAUACAGGUGUUUAUGUGAACACUGCUGUCAUUUCUCUUGGGAAGAUACUGAGGAGUCAGACUGCUGGAUCUCAUGAAGAAUGUAUGUUGAACGUUAUAAAAAUCUGCCAACUUAAA
Molecule: long non-coding RNA, 770 nt
Organism: Cercocebus atys (sooty mangabey)
Lineage: Eukaryota; Metazoa; Chordata; Mammalia; Primates; Cercopithecidae
Exons: 2
Source: RefSeq, a predicted model, not a curated record